GGGGGCGAUCUGGAUUCGACGCUGGUUACGAAACCCAAGGUGCAUGCCGAGAGGGUAGUGACUCUCGUAAAUCAAUCGCUGUAACUUUUAUAGUUGCCAACGACGAAAACUACGCAUUAGCCGCUUAAACUAAAAAAUUCGUUUUUUAGAAUAAGUUAAGCUUGACUCGGGGCGGAUGUGCCCAU
RNAcentral lists this transfer-messenger RNA (185 nucleotides) under Pseudomonadales bacterium. RNAcentral's name for it is "partial transfer-messenger RNA". It matches the Rfam family "transfer-messenger RNA", at positions 1 to 166 of the family's 374-position model. From Rfam's summary of the family: Bacterial tmRNA, also known as 10Sa RNA or SsrA, is named for its dual tRNA and mRNA-like properties. Its role is to liberate the mRNA from a stalled ribosome. To accomplish this part of the tmRNA is used as a reading frame that ends in a translation stop signal. Lineage: Bacteria; Pseudomonadati; Pseudomonadota; Gammaproteobacteria; Pseudomonadales. The record is from RNAcentral.